AUGUUCUUCUGUUUUACUUAGAAGAUUUGGCCUGCACCCUGAAAUUUUAAUUUUAAAGAGCUGCAGUAUUAUGACUGUACAAAGGUAGCAUAAUCAUUAGUCUUUUAAUUGAGGACUUGUAUGAAAGGUUUGACUAAAGAAUACUGUCUCAUUUUAAUAAUUUGAAGUUUUCGUUUUUGUUAAAAGACAAAAAUAUGGAUAAUAGACAAGAAGACCCUUUUAAACUUGAUUUAAUUUAGAGUGGCUAUUUAUAUUAUAAUUAAGGUACUAUAAUUAAAAUUUUGCUGGGGCGGCAGGUAUAUAAACAAUAUUUUAGAUAAAUUAGAAGCUAAGAGAAAGGUCCUUAAUGAGGGAAGAAAGAAAGAGUUACUGAAGGGAUAACAGCGUAAUAUGCCUUAAGAGUUCUUAUUGACAGGUGUGUUUGCGA
This 427-nucleotide ribosomal RNA is filed under the name Brachyiulus bagnalli. RNAcentral describes it as "partial 16S ribosomal RNA". It matches the Rfam family "Bacterial large subunit ribosomal RNA", at positions 1817 to 2523 of the family's 2925-position model. The record is from RNAcentral. Lineage: Eukaryota; Metazoa; Arthropoda; Diplopoda; Julida; Julidae.